UCGAGCGAGUCUGCCUUGAAGAUCGGAGUGCUUGCACUCUGUGAAACAAGAUACAGGCUAGCGGCGGACGGGUGAGUAACACGUGGGUAACCUGCCCAAGAGAUCGGGAUAACACCUGGAAACAGAUGCUAAUACCGGAUAACAACAGAUGAUGCCUAUCAACUGUUUAAAAGAUGGUUCUGCUAUCACUCUUGGAUGGACAUGCGGUGCAUUAGCUAGUUGGUAGGGUAACGGCCUACCAAGGCGAUGAUGCAUAGCCGAGUUGAGAGACUGAUCGGCCACAUUGGGACUGAGACACGGCCCAAACUCCUACGGGAGGCAGCAGUAGGGAAUCUUCCACAAUGGACGCAAGUCUGAUGGAGCAACGCCGCGUGAGUGAAGAAGGGUUUCGGCUCGUAAAGCUCUGUUGUUGGUGAAGAAGGACAGGGGUAGUAACUGACCUUUGUUUGACGGUAAUCAAUUAGAAAGUCACGGCUAACUACGUGCCAGCAGCCGCGGUAAUACGUAGGUGGCAAGCGUUGUCCGGAUUUAUUGGGCGUAAAGCGAGUGCAGGCGGCUCGAUAAGUCUGAUGUGAAAGCCUUCGGCUCAACCGGAGAACUGCAUCAGAAACUGUCGAGCUUGAGUACAGAAGAGGAGAGUGGAACUCCAUGUGUAGCGGUGAAAUGCGUAGAUAUAUGGAAGAACACCGGUGGCGAAGGCGGCUCUCUGGUCUGUUACUGACGCUGAGGCUCGAAAGCAUGGGUAGCGAACAGGAUUAGAUACCCUGGUAGUCCAUGCCG
Molecule: ribosomal RNA, 780 nt
Filed under: uncultured bacterium
Lineage: Bacteria
Description: bacterial SSU rRNA
Rfam family: Bacterial small subunit ribosomal RNA
Source: RNAcentral